CGGUGGUACCGGGCCCCUCUGGCGGAGCAUGUCUGGAUGACGUGGCCGCGAUGUCGGAACCGCCUU
This is a regulatory RNA element of 66 nucleotides. It matches the Rfam family "terC RNA". The record is from Rfam.